CCUACGGGAGGCAGCAGUGGGGAAUAUUGGACAAUGGGGGGAACCCUGAUCCAGCCAUGCCGCGUGUGUGAAGAAGGCCCUCGGGGUGUAAAGCACUUUCAGUGAGGAAGAACGCCUGGUGGUUAAUACCCAUCAGGAAAGACAUCACUCACAGAAGAAGCACCGGCUAACUCCGUGCCAGCAGCCGCGGUAAUACGGAGGGUGCGAGCGUUAAUCGGAAUUACUGGGCGUAAAGCGCGCGUAGGUGGCUUGAUAAGCCGGUUGUGAAAGCCCCGGGCUCAACCUGGGAACGGCAUCCGGAACUGUCAAGCUAGAGUGCAGGAGAGGAAGGUAGAAUUCCCGGUGUAGCGGUGAAAUGCGUAGAGAUCGGGAGGAAUACCAGUGGCGAAGGCGGCCUUCUGGACUGACACUGACACUGAGGUGCGAAAGCGUGGGUAGCAAACAGGAUUAGAUACCCCUGUAGUC
This 465-nucleotide ribosomal RNA is filed under the name Vreelandella stevensii. RNAcentral's name for it is "partial 16S ribosomal RNA". It matches the Rfam family "Bacterial small subunit ribosomal RNA", at positions 338 to 795 of the family's 1533-position model. Lineage: Bacteria; Pseudomonadati; Pseudomonadota; Gammaproteobacteria; Oceanospirillales; Halomonadaceae. The record is from RNAcentral.